UACGUAGGGGGCAAGCGUUGUCCGGAAUCAUUGGGCGUAAAGAGCGCGUAGGCGGCCCAGUAAGUCCGCUCUGAAAGUCAGGGGCUCAACCCCUGAAUGCGGGUGGAUACUGCUGGGCUAGAGUCCGGAAGAGGCGAGUGGAAUUCCAGGUGUAGCGGUGAAAUGCGUAGAUAUCGGGAGGAACACCUGUGGCGAAAGCGGCUCACUGGACCACAACUGACGCUGAGGCGCGAAAGCUAGGGGAGCAAACAGG
RNAcentral lists this ribosomal RNA (253 nucleotides) under uncultured bacterium. Its description in RNAcentral is "partial 16S ribosomal RNA". It matches the Rfam family "Bacterial small subunit ribosomal RNA", at positions 524 to 776 of the family's 1533-position model. The record is from RNAcentral.